UUUCGCAAACGGAUCUAUUUAUUUCAGAUUAUGUAUGGAGAUAUGUAUUAUGAUGACACAAAAACAGCUGGUCUAUUUUGUUUACCCAUUUCUUUUUCAAUAUAAUAUGUCUAUAGUUAGAUGUAGACAUCUAGAUCUGGAUAACCUUCUUCUACAAAAACCACCCACCUACUCAACAUCAUUUUGAGAUAUGUGUAAGAUUGCAUUAUGUUGCACCAUCUAUUCUAUGCUUCACUUUACACUUAUGUAUGGCUAUCAGUCUCUCUUGGUUUGCAUUAUAACCCAGAAUGUGUAGCAAAGGUGAUUUCUCCAGAACCAGACAUUUUCAAGACCAUGUCUUAUUAGUGAGCUAGAAAGUGUAAUUAUCAUGUCAGUAGUUCUAGCACUAAUCAUUCUUCCUAUGUUCCUGAGUACUCUAUUGGCAUUACCCAUUUUGUUAUUUCCACAUGGUUUAUUUUUCAUUUAAG
Non-coding RNA from Pelobates cultripes (western spadefoot toad), 467 nucleotides. Lineage: Eukaryota; Metazoa; Chordata; Amphibia; Anura; Pelobatidae. The record is from the annotation of a GenBank genome assembly.